GCCGGGCGGCGUCUACCUGCAGUCGACGCCCCGCCUGCUAGUGGCAGACAGAUGGUAACGCGUGGGAAUCUACCCAUCUCUGCUGAAUAUCUCUGGGAAACUGGAAUUAAUACCGCAUACGCCCUACGGGAGAAAGAUUUUUCGGGGAUGGAUGAGCCCGCGUUGGAUUAUCUAGUUGGUGGGGUAAAGGCCUACCAUGGCGACGAUCCAUAGCUGGUCUGAUAGGAUGAUCACCCCCAUUGGGACUGAUACACGGCCCACACUCCUACGGGAGGCUGCAGUGGGGAAUAUUGUACAAUGGGCGCAAGCCUGAUCCAGCCUUGCCGCGUGAGUGAUGAACGCCUUAGGGUUGUAAAGCUCUUUCACCGAUGAAGAUAAUGACGGUACCUCUAGAAGAAGCCCCGACUAACUUCGUGCCAGCCCCCGCGAAAAUACGAAGGGUGCUAACGUUGUUCGGAAUUACUGGGCGUAAAGCGCACGUAGGCGGAUAUUUAAUUCAGGGGUGAAAUCCCGCAGCUCAACUGCGGAACUGCCUUUGAUACUGGGUAUCUUGAGUAUGCAAAAGGUAAGUGGAAUUCCGAGUGUAGAGGUGAAAUUCGUAAAUAUGCAGAGGAACACCAGUGGCUAAGGCGGCUUAAUGGUCCAUUACUGACGCUGAGGUGCGAAAGCUCUCUGGAGCAAUCACUGAUUACAUACCCUGGUAGUCCACGCCAUAGACGAUGAAUGUAUACCCGUGGGACACCAUACUGUUCACGUGGGGCAGCUAAGCGGCAUUAGGACAUUUCCGCCGUGUGUCCGUACCGGUCGCAUGACUGAAUACUCAGACGCAGUUGGCGGGAGGUACCGCACCAGCGCUGAGCAUCGAUGGGUAUAUGUUCGGAAGGCCAACCGCCGCAGAGAGG
This 902-nucleotide ribosomal RNA is filed under the name Agrobacterium sp. RNAcentral describes it as "bacterial SSU rRNA". The stretch from base 1 to 789 matches the Rfam family "Bacterial small subunit ribosomal RNA", at positions 61 to 873 of the family's 1533-position model. Lineage: Bacteria; Pseudomonadati; Pseudomonadota; Alphaproteobacteria; Hyphomicrobiales; Rhizobiaceae. The record is from RNAcentral.